GUGCUCACUUCAGCAGCACAUAUACUAAAAUUGGAACAAUACAGAGAAGAUCGGCAUGGCCCCCGUGCAAGGAUGACAUGCAAAUUUGUGAAGCAUUCCGUAUUUUU
This 107-nucleotide small nuclear RNA is filed under the name Vulpes vulpes (red fox). The record is from RNAcentral. Lineage: Eukaryota; Metazoa; Chordata; Mammalia; Carnivora; Canidae.